Molecule: long non-coding RNA, 171 nt
Organism: Zingiber officinale
Lineage: Eukaryota; Viridiplantae; Streptophyta; Magnoliopsida; Zingiberales; Zingiberaceae
Exons: 3
Source: RefSeq, a predicted model, not a curated record
ACACCUCUUUACUCUCUCCCCGGUUAUGUGCACCGAUCAGCAGGAGGAUAUUCUCGGACGUUGCUGGGGAUGUAACUAUUUAUGUGGAUGGCCAAUCGUUCCUAUUGCACAAGUUCCCUCUGGUUUCACGAAGUGGAAAAAUCUGGAAAAUGGUAGUUGAAUCCAGGGAGC